CCGGGUAGGCGGGUAAAAACAUUGUAACAAAUAGAUCUAUACUUCUAUAGGUUAGGGAAUGCAUGUCUAAGAUUCUAGCAACAUGGUGGUCAGUAAAUGUCUCUGGGCAUCUAAACUAUUACCUAAAAAAGUCUAAGUUCAUGACAGUAAUGAGAAUCAUGUCAAGCAGUUCUGAUGGUGUUCCACAAUGGCUAAAGGAUCAUCAUACAUGUAUGUACAUGCUCAUUCUUCCUGUUUGGAUCUUGAGAACUUUGACAUUUAUUCAAUAUUUGAUGUAAGUACUAUGGCCUGUAGUUUUAUAUUGAAUACCAUUUUGUAACAGAUAAUUUGUUAUUUCUGUGAAAGAAUUUAAUUAACUUGCAAUUGUACAGCAUUAACAGUCAUUACAAGUGAAGGUCUAUCAUAUUUGAUGUUUUACUCUUACUAGACCUAGACGUAGGACACAUAUAACCUUCCUCAUUUUCAUCUUCUUCUAUCACUUCUACAAAUCUCAAAGUAUCCUUUUCUAUCUCUAAAUCACGCUCAAAAUAUCCUCAUCUAUCACUAAAUCACACUCAAAAUAUCCUCAUCUAUCACUAAAUCACUCUUAAAAUAUACUCAUCUAUCACUAAAUUAUGCUCAAAAUAUUCACAUUGUCAGGUUUUUUUUAUUACAUGGCUCAAGGGUACCAGGUAUUUAGGGAAAUUAUAACUUGGAUUGCUUUGGUUGUAGUAAUGUAAUGUCCAUUUGCUUGUAGUAAUGCAGUGUCUUACUAGUUGAUGUUAGCGUGGGUUAUUCAUUUGUGGGUGUGUGGAGUGGAGCUUGAACUGAAACUCGAGUUGGUGUCCAGCGAUAUCCGUGUCAAUCUCUUUAUAUUGUCCCAUGAUGGCCAUUCAAAUUUUGAACAUAAUGGCUCUGGUAUGUGAUCCACAUAUUCAGUGAGGCUCUUUGUCAUUUCUUUUGGGUCCUUACGAAAUUCAUCAAACAAAUAGUUCAUAGGUUUAUGGACAUUAACUGAAAAAUAAAAAUUAAAUUUUUUAGUAAAUAUAUAAAAAAAAAAUUUACGAGCAAUGUAACAUAACAUAAUGCGUAAAUAUAACUUCAGUUCCAUAAACCUUGCUAUGUAAUUAAGAUACAAAUAUUUGUUUAAGUUACAAGACUUUUGCGUUAGUUUCAAAAGAAAUAAAAAAAAUAAUUUCAACUUUGUGUUGGAGAUUUCUUUUGUUUUUUUUUUUGAUGCUGUAGUCUUCUUUUUUGUAUUUUGGAAAAAUGAUACUACAUCGUACAUUUCCUUCCUCGUCUGUGUCAUCAGUUUCCUCUCCACAAUUUUCAUUGUAUUGCAUGGCUGCAAUGUGGAGCCUAGUCAAUAAACAAAUGAAGGACAUUUAGAAAUAUGGUACUCUAAACUAGUAGUACUAACAGGUUGAUGAAAUAUUAUAUGGUAUAAUAUUACUUAACUGCUUCGCAUUCCUAAAUAAAAAAAAAGCAGUGUGCUUUGGUGCAAAUUUUAUUACAAGACUGGAAUGAUUCCAGAGCAGCUGUUUGGUAUAUUAGAGAAUAGCUUUUUAAUUUCCUUUUUCAAUUUGCGAUUGUCUAAGAUUUUGCAAACACUUCCAUAUAGUUUCUGUAAAGAAUUAACGUAGAAAAAAGGUCGGAAUAUUUCAAGAUUAUCCUUCUGUUGGUGAGAAAACAUUCAAACAGGUUUCCCAAGACUUAAGUUAAACAUUAAUUUAAUAUAGUAAAUCAAGAAAAUACUCACCAGGCUCAAACUGUAUUGUACUCAAUGCCAUGUAAACAUGAGGGAAGCAGCAAAUUUGGGUGACCUGUAUGCUGAUUGACCAAGUGAUUUAAAAUGCUUUGCCAUUUGGCAAGCAUUAAAUCGCAAUUACCAUCUGAAGUUGAAACAGCACACCAAUACAAAUGGUUGAUGAUAAAUUUUUUCCAUCUGUUUACUAGCUCUCCCUCUUGUUUUAAACUUAUGUAAUCCAAUUUUUUUUUUAAGCCCUACAAAAAAUAUAGAUACAUUUUAAACAAACUGUAAUGCAUUUUAAACAUUGUACAGCACUUUUAAAAUAUGAAAGUUAAAUUUUGGCACAACAUACCUUUAGCAACAUGCCAAAUGUCAUAAAAAAUUGCCUUAUGUAAUUCUUUUCAGUUCGUAGGAACUUUAAAACAGAUGUAAGACAAUCUGUCGUUAAGCACUAAAUAAUCAGCCCACUUUCUUCCAGGAAAUCUAGAGAUCCUUUCAAUCCUUCCAACUCACAUACAUUGCUAUUGGCAUUUUCAGUACUCUUAAAAAAAAAGUUAAAUUUUAAAAAAUAUUUUAGUUUUUCUAAGUUAUAAAAAAAAGUCUUACCUGUACAACUUGAACGUCCAAAACCUUGUUGAUUUGGCACUCCAAAAUGGAAUACAAACCAUAUUUGGCAUUAUGUCCUUGAGAGUCACUGUGCCCAUCUCCUGCUAGGUUGAGACUCAAGUUAGUUAUUUUAAGUUGAUUUAUAAUGUCUUUCUGUUCAUUUGAAAAUACAUUGUCCACCUUUAGCAACAUGCCAAAUGUCAUAAAAGAUGCCUUAUGUAAUUCUUUUGAGUUCGUAGGAACUUUAAAACAGAUGUAAGACAAUCUGUCGUUAAGCACUAAAUAAUCAGCCCACUUUCUUCCAGGAAAUCUAGAGAUCCUUUCAAUCCUUCCAACUCACAUGCAUUGCUAUUGGCAACUUCAGUACUCUUAAAAAAAAAAGGUUAAAUUUUAAAAAAUAUUUUAGUUUUUCUAAGUCAUAAAAAAAAAGUCUUACCUGUACAACUUGAACGUCCAAAACCUUGUUGAUUUGGCACUCCAAAAUGGAAUACAAACCAUAUUAGGCAUUAUGUCCUGGAGAGUCACUGUGCCCAUCUCCUGCUAGGUUGAGACUCAAGUUAGUUAUUUUAAGUUGAUUUAUAAUGUCUUUCUGUUCAUUUGAAAAUACAUUCUCCACCGUAGCAUGUAAGUAGUCUUUCUGGUGUUUAAAAAAAACUUAGAUUCUGAAACUCUCACAAAAUUUAAGGCAUCCAAAAAUUGCAUUGUCCAAAACCUUGAUGAUUUGGCACUCCAAAAUGGAAUACAAACCAUAUUUGGCAUUAUGUCCUGAAGAGUCAUUGUGCCCAUCUCCUGCUAGGUUGAGACUCAAGUUAGUUAUUUUAAGUUGAUUUAUAAUGUCUUUCUGUUCAUUUGAAAAUACAUUCUCCACAUUUAGCAACAUGCCAAAUGUCAUAAAAGUGCCUUAUGUAAUUCUUUUGAGUUCGUAGGAACUUUAAAACAGAUGUAUGACAAUCUGUCAUUAAGCACUAAAUAAUCAGUCCACUUUCUUCCAGGAAAUCUAGAGAUCCUUUCAAUCCUUCUAACUCACAUGCAUUGCUAUUGGCAUUUUCAGUACUCUUAGAAAAAAAAGGUUAAAUUUUAUAAAAAUAUUUUAGUUUUUCUAAGUCAUAUAAUAAAAAAAAAAGUCUUACAAACCAUAUUUAGCAUUAUGUCCUGGAGAGUCACUGCGCCCAUCUCCUGCUACUUGAACGUCCAAAACCUUGUUGAUUUGGCACUCCAAAAUAGAAUACAAACCAUAUUUAGCAUUAUGUCCUGGAGAUUAACUGCGCCCAUCUCCUGCUAGGUUGAGACUCAAGUUAGUUAUUUUAAGGUGAUUUAUAAUGUCUUUCUGUUCAUUUAAAAAUACAUUCUCCACCGUGGCAUGUAAGUAGUCUUUCUGGUGUUUAAAAACUUUGAUUCUGAAACUCUCACAAAAAUUAAAGCAUCCAAAAAUUGCAUUGUCCAAAACCUUGUUGAUUUGGCACUCCAAAAUAGAAUAUGAACCAUAUUUAGCAUUAUGUCCUGGAGAGUCAUUGUGCCCAUCUCCUGCUAGGUUGAGACUCAAGUUAGUUAUUUUAAGUUGAUUUAUAAUGUCUUUCUGUUCAUUUGAAAAUACAUUCUCCACCUUUAGCAACAUGCCAAAUGUCAUAAAAAGAUGCCUUAUGUAAUUCUUUUGAGUUCGUAGGAACUUUGAAACAGAUGUAAGACAAUCUGUCAUUAAGCACUAAAUAAUCAGUCCACUUUCUUCCAGGAAAUCUAGAGAUCCUUUCAAUCCUUCCAACUCACAUGCAUUGCUAUUGGCAACUUCAGUACUCUUAAAAACAGAUAGUCGUAGGUUUAAUAUAUAAGUUUCCAUCUCCUAGACUGGCUGCCAACGAAGGCUGUAGAGCCCAGUCUGGCCAGAGCUUGAAUUGCAGUUUUAGUUCUUCACAUCAACUUCUAUUAGCAUUGCAACCCACAAUUGCACAAUUUUUAUACAUAGUUUUCCAGGCAUAGAUUUUUAAAUAUUUAUCGUUGUAUUUAUAUUAUAAUUUUUUGCAAGUCUUCAUGAAUUUAUAUUUUGUCAAUUAGGCUACAUCUCAAUUCCAGUAGUAGAACAGUUUUUGGCCUCUUUCGGUCGUUGGGUGGUGGGUGCCACUGGUAAAGUUUUGAGAUCGUGUAGAUUAUUCAAAUUUAAGAAUUGUUGUAAAUCUAAAUCCAGUCAUCUUAUCUAGACUGAUUCAAAUUACUGUACAUCUCGAUCUUGUUCUGGAGAGAACUAGAUGGAAACUUGUUCAAACAUGUUUUUUUAUUUGAAUUUUGUAAAUAGACCUUUAUCAGAUAUGUACAAGAAAUGGAAUCAGUUUGCAUUCUUCCAAAAAUGGAAAAUAACAAAAUCUGAUUUUUUUGUUAAAAAAAAUAUAAAAAUCUUGAUUUUUUUUUUUCAGCUGGAGAAAUAUCUAAAAAAAAAUAUUGCUCUCAUCCAUGUUUUCGGAGUCAAUAAGAUUGACAUAUACAGCAUACACAUUUUUUAGUUAGUGUCCGCCAUAUAUUAUAUAUUUCUCAGGGCUACACAGGAGAAACGACUUUUAACUUUAGAUCAUCACUCAUGAAGAAAAAAAAGGAAAGAUUAGUUGUGGAACUUCAUGCCCAACAUUUUUAUCCAAAUUGUACUUAUUUCUUUCUUUUUAAAUAGGGAUGUGAUUUAAGUCAAUUAGAUCAACCUGACUUCUAAAACUUGGAUGAGAAAAUGCAUUAUAUUUAAACAUUUGUUUUGUCUAAUCUAGCUCACAGAAUAGAUGAGUAAAGUUAUUGCUUACAGAAACAAGAUCUUUCAAUAGUCUUUCAUUUCUUCAAUAGCCAGAUAUAUGUCAUAUACUUCAGACAAAAAAAAAAUGAAUAGUCCAGAAGCCUUGAUUAACUUGAUAAAUUACCUUGACCUUGUUGUCUAUGAUCAUCAUAACUAGUCAUGCCUGUCCUACUUUGAAUUCAUAUAAACCUUCUUCCUAUAUCAUUCCUUUCUGCCAACACAGUAUGAAACAUCUUUUGGUAUCCAUUUACUCAGCACAAUAAAGCUGUGGCAAACACUUCAGUGGUCAUACUUAAAACAAACACAACAUUUUUAAGAAUGCAACAUUUUUUUUUUUUACAUUACAUGCAAUUAAAAAUAUUUAUCCAAAAAACUAAUAUGUUAUUAAAUAAAAUACUUUAACAUUUAACUCUGCCUGAGGCAGUUCUACUCAUUCUAUAGAAUGCCUUGGCAAGCUGAGCACAAUAGGCAAAGUACAAAUGAAGAAAUUAUUUCCUCCUUUGCCUGAAACUGUCAUUCUAUAGAAUUCAAGAGUUUGUAAAAUCAGUGUGAAAUCCUUUUUUUUUUUGAUUCCCAUAAGUAUUGUAUUGCAUCAUAGUAACAGAUGAAAUAUUUACUUGCACUGUGUAGUGUAUGCCAGUUACAAUUUUUGUUUCAUGAAAAUUAAAGUGACUGAUGACUGGUAAGCUUACUGGCAAUGUGAAGACCAUAGUUCUCUUGAAAUAUUUUAAACUUUUAAAAUGUCUACAGCUGAUGAGACCAUCAUUUCAAAUGAGCUUUUCAUGACUCCAAGGGCUUCUAUUGCUUCUUCCUCUUCUUCUAAUAAGCUACCGGCACCUAAAUUGACAAAUUAUUCAUUUAGAGACUCAUAUAAUAUUUGUCUUUUAAUGCACUUCCCGUCUAUCACGCAGUCUCCAUUAGUAGCACUAAACAGGGUCAAUAUAUUGACCUUCAUGUUCUUAUAUACCGGUACAUUUUUUUAAUUCUUUACCGGUACCGGUACUUAGAAGUAAAAAAAAAUAGACAAAUCUUUUUUUUCAGGCCCAGAUAUUGACUAUCAAUGUCACUUUGAUAUAUAAAAUAUACAUUAUUACAAUAUAGGCUACUGUUAAAAUCUAAUUUUAAUUUGUUUACUUCCAUAGUGCCUAUACAGUAGUGUCAUAGUUUGUUUAUGUACAAUAAUGAAAUAAUGGACCAUGCUAAGUUAAUUUGAACCGUCGGUAAUGGCGCAGGACUCCAACCGACAAUAAUGUAUAUUUAAAAAAAAAUUCUCCAGCAAGAUCCAAUCGAAAUAUUAUCCACUCUUCUCACGAGAUGAACAUUCAACCUCCCCCCCCCCCUCUCAAAGCAAAAUUCCGAACAAAAACCACCUUCACUUGUCCACCUCCCACUCGAAAGCCACCCUCCUCCUCCAGAGUUAACAGGAGAGGCAGACUGACCUCAUCACUGGUAAACAAAACAAAUAAUUAGAAAGGGGUGGGACUUGCCGACGCAUAUUUGUUGUUGUUUACAAUCAGUGCUGAAUUUUUUUUAUUUUCCUAGCGCAUUAUUUAUCAUUGUUAAAAAAAAAAUUGUCAGCACUAGCCAAUGCUAGCCAGUGAUGAGAGGGACAUUCGGAGUAGGCCUAUAUAUAGUGCACGUAGGCAUAUGUCUGGAAUAGACGUGACCUUCGCGUGCAAACAAAAAUCGUCAGGAUAACUAUGUACGACAGACGUGAGAACUUUAUCCGUUCUGUUAGGUCUUCUUUAAAAAACGUUUAAUUGCGGAAGACGCCACUCGCUAAAACGGUCUAGAUCUAGGACUACCGGUACCAUUGAAAAGAUGAAACGACGUUUCUCGUUUAAUUUCGUUUUAAUUUUAUUUGUUUAAUAUUAAUUUAUCAACUAUACAAUCACGGCAUUGCCGUCCCUUUAAAAGUAAGAUGACGGAAUUCGUUUCGGCCCUCCCACCCCCCAUCACUGGUCAGGACGCCCCACUGUUUGAGACACUUUUUUUUUUUUUUUGUUAAUGCGGAAGUGGUCUUGCAAGGAAGUGCUCCGCCGACUCUUUAGAAAGCGCGCGUUUCUGCGUCCACUACUGACCCUCACUGCACACGUUGAGCCAACGCACGUUGUGGUCGGGUCGUCUCAGUAGUGGACAUAAGAUGGACUGCUCAAAACGGGCUAGCCUCAAGGUUCAAGUGAUGACAUCGUCAGGCUUAAGGUAGAACUUUUGAUCAUGUACUUGUAUAAUACUUCACGAUGAUUGUUAAACCACUAAAUUGUCUAGACUAGAUAUAAUUAUAUAGAUAUAUGAAAAUCCGGAAGUAAAAAAAUGGCGUUUUUCUUACUUUCUGUACAUAGGCCCUUGAUUGAAAUCGAUUAUAAUGAUUGUAAAUCCAUUGAAAUCGUUGCCAAAAUGGGUGAAUAUGGAUACAUUUUAUAUUGAGGAACAUUUUUUUUUCAUGUGGAUUAUAAAAAAAUGUGUAUUUUCCUACUUUUUUUAAACUUGAAGGUAUAUCAUAUAAUAUGUAUUUUUAUGUUUACUGAUACUCAUUUUAGGUAAGGUCCAAGAAGUUGAUUUUUUUUCCCCGUAAUAGAUUAUACAUCUCAAUUAUUUAGUUAAUAGUUAUUCUCAUAGAAAGAGAAAAAAAAAUAGAGUUAAUAGUCCUGGGUUGGGGCAUCAAACUCAAACCCAUGAGUUAGGGAGGUGAACAAAAAAAUUUUUUUUUGAAAAAAAAAAUUUUGCUUAGUAAAUCAUUAAAAUACUUUAUUAGAACUGUCCAUCGAUGUAAAAAUUAUGACUGUAUGUUUAACGGUUUUUGGACGCGUUUUUGCUUAACAUUGACCCCAAUGGAAAAAGUGAGACGACAUUUUGUAAAAUUCAACAAAAAAACACACACAGUUUAGUUAAUUUUGACCUCACCAUUUAUUAUUAUACAUCAAAUGAAAGCUUUUGCUGUGCCCUACCCAAGCCUGUUAUAUAUUUAUAUAAUGCUAAAGUAAUUAAGGUAAAAAAAAUAAGAAUAAUGAGGUCACUAAACAUUUUUUUUAACGAUAAUGCUUAUAAUUUCGUUAUUUUUAAUAAACAAACACAAAACCAUGUAUCAGAAGAAAGCUAAAGUUGUACAUUACCUAUCUAUAUAUUCAUUUGUAUAUUAAUUAACAUAAAAAAUAGUUAAAUGAUGGGUAACAAAGUCACUGAUGACAACUUACAAUCAAUUGCUUCAUCUGGAUAUAAAGUUUCUGAUGUAUGAUACUGAAUAUGACAUAGAUGAUACAGGCGAUUCAGUAUGGUAAUAUGAGGUAUUAGCCAUGACAUGAGUUGUAGGCAGUAGUUGAAGAUGAUACAGUUGAUUCAGUAUGGUAAGAUGAGGUAUUACCAUGACACGUGAUGAAGGUAGUAGUCGAAUGCAAUGAAGAUCUAGAGUGUUAGUACAACAUUCAUAUAAUACUGUUGAUGGUGACAUACAUUAAUACAGGUGAUUCUUAGUUCAGGUUUUAACCAUAACGAGUUGUAGCCAGUAAACGGUAAGUACAUGACAUGAGUUGUAGGCAGUAGUUGAAGAUGAUACAGUUGAUUCAGUAUGUCAAAAUAAGGUGAUUCUUAGUAAGUUCAGGUGUUAACCAUAGCAUGAUUUAUAGCCAAUGAAGCUCUAGUGUUUAAUUGAAAAUUGUGGCAGUGGAUGAAGUGAAAUGAAAGGGUUAUGAUGUGAAGAAAAUGGUGUUACUAGUUUAAAUUACUUUUAAAAGUUAGAUAUAUGUGAGGUUAUUAGCCCGCCUUCUAAUGCGUGCAGCUCCCAUGGCCCAUUCGACCCUUUCUUUCCGAGCUGAUUCCGUCAGGGAAUCUAGAUAGGCCACAGUAUUGUUCUUUUUGGAACGGACUUUAGAAGAGAUGUAGCAGACUGUUGCACUGGGUGCACGUUUUUUUCUGCACUGAACAUGCCAACCACCUCUUCUGAGUCCAUAUUAUGUGACCUAGCAGAUUCUGCUUCAAGCUUCAUCAGCUCAGAUUCAUCCAUACUUAGAAAACUUUCAUACUGCCUCUGGAUAACAGACGCAAUAGAAGACAGGCAAUCUUUCAACAUACGCUCAACUUGCAUAUCUUGAGGGCAUAGCAAAAGAACUUGCAGUACAAGGUCAUUGGCAUCAAGGUCUUCAUCAAAGAAGUCUAAGCUCCUUGUAAAAAUGCUGAAAGGAUUUUUCAGACAUUCAUUUACUCAGGCUAGAACUCCUUUAAUGACUGUGACGCCCUCAUAAUAAGAAAUAUUUCUCACAUCAUCUUGGGAUGUGUAAAAUUUUCUCAUCCAAGGGCCAGUCAACAGUUUUCCUAUUAGGCCCAUGACAUAUAAUUGUUUUUUUGCAGCUUGAAGUUGGAGGUCGUACAGCAAUGCUGCUGUCAGACCUCCACAAGGAAGGGCAGAGGCAGAUCCCAAAAAAAAUCUAAAAAUUGUUGAGAAUGAAGGACCAAUAUUCCACAAGUAUGGAAUAAUACGUGGAAACGAUUACCCCUAUACCGGGGAAUAAGGCCCUUCUUCAAUUUUUCUUUAACUAAAAAGGAAACAAAACCUUUGGGAUUGCCUGUACCCAUUUUGUAACGCAUUUUGGUCAGCUGCAAAACAAUGUUACUUGCCAAGCAGUCACAACCAAAAAGCUUACCUUGUUCUGUCUGCAGGGUCUUAAGUGCCUCCGUGCAGCCUUUAGCAAUGCUAUCAAGCGGGUGCACGUGGCAAUUAAGCUCAGUCAAGGAUUUGUCCCACAACUCAGACAAUCACAUCACAGUGGCAUGGUUUACAUGAGCCCGGUCAGACAUAGUGUUGGAGAUAUUUUGGAUAAUUCUAUCCCGGCACUCAUGUAAAUCUGUCUUGUGAAAAUUGGAGUACACUUCUGCCAAGUUUUGAAUUGCUUGACAGAUGUGAUUCCCAUAAUCCUCAGCCGUCCCACCACUCAGGUCAUCUAAAGCAAUUACUAAAGUAUUAGACUUGGUGGUGAGAUGCACUGAAUUGACAUGUACACCCUCUUGGGUUGUGGCAUCAAACCCAAGAGUUAGGCCUGGUGUAGCCAUGACAACUUCAGCGGCUUGCAGGUCUGAUAUAACACCAAGUUCUCUUACACAGUUUUCAAUACAACUUUUGUCAGGGACAGAAUCAAUAAGGAUCCCCAUUUUGUGGGACAAACUAUCAAUUACAUGUCAGGGACAGAAUCAAUAAGGAUCCCCAUUUUGUGGGACAAACUAUCAAUUACAGAGGGGAUUCUUUUGAUGGGGACAUUGUUAGAAAUACAAUCAUAAAUAAUUAAUCUGGCUAUUACAUUAUAAGUUUUUUUGUCUUUUUUUAAGGGAAGUAGCAUCAAUAUUUUCUAAUUGUGAAACUUUAUCUUCAAGGACCAGUUUGUCACACUGAAGGGCCUUAAUGAUUGUGUCCCUCUCAAGCAAUUCUUUAUUAUGAUUUGAUUUAAUUUUAAUUAUUGAUUGAUCAUAUUUAUUUUUUGUGGCUAUUAAUUUAGUCUUCAAUUUAGCAAUUUCUUCAUGGCCAGAUUCAGUUUUAAGUUUUUUUAAUUCCUUUUUAAGAUUUCUAAUAGUUUGUUUUUUUCUCUCCACUGACUGCUUAAAGUUUUUAAUUAAAUUAGGCUGAUAAUUAAUUUUUAACUUAAGUUCCUUCAUUUUUUUAAAUGUUUCUUCUUCUUUCCUCACCCCUAGACUCGGCGAGCAAAGAUAAACGCCUUUUUAAGGCUUUUUUUUCUGGGUGUAAGUUCCCCUUUUGUGGGGAAUAGAUUCAGUGAUUGGUGUAUGUAUGUUUUGCACAGCUGGUAUUUCAAUAUUGGAAUUAGGAUUAGGGACAGUAUGAGAAGGGAGUUGAUAAAAAAUUUGAGAGCAUAUUAUUUUUAUUUGUCCUAGAUUUCUUUUUAAAUUUUUUUUUAUAUUUUAUAAGUGUACUGUGAAUUAAUCUUUUUAAGUUAACUAAGGUUUCAGAGGAGGGAAUUCUAAAGGAAGAACUUAUAAUUUCUGUAGAAUUUGGAUAAGAUGAGUCAUUGGCUAUAAAAACAUGAAGCGCAUGGCCAUUUAAGCACAUCUUAUCCAUAGUGCCAGAUCCAGGUUCUGGUAAAUCACCAUAGUUUUCAGAUAGAAACUGAAACAGUUCUGAGUCUUUAAGUGACCAAACUGCUGCAGUCCUUUUUUUAACAUGAUUUCUGAAAAUAAAACUGCAUAUUAAUAUUUUGCUUAAUUUUGUGUAAUAGAAAUUUUGCCCUAUACUUAGCAAUUAGAAAACUGUAACUGUAAGGCAUUUUUUAUUUUACUUCUUUCUAAUCUGAACUAUUCCUACUCUUAGCAUUCUAAUAUAUAAUUAUGCCAACCAUGUCUAUAGCAUAAUAGAUGUAUUUCAUCAUUACUAUUGCUUACAUUUAUUAUAUUAGUAAUGUUACUAGUUAGUAAAUGAAGCUUUAACAAGUUUAAAGUUAAUAGUUAAUAAAGUUAAUUAUAAAAAAAAACCUUGAUGUAGCUAGGAUGAUCAAAAUUAAAUUUCAUUACUAAUAAAUAAAUAAUCAUUAUGAUAAUGAUAAUUUAAAUCUUGUAAAUGAAAUUAUUAUAAUUAUUAAAUGAUUAGGAUCUCACUGACUGAGUUACUCUGUGUGUGAGUCACCUCAGCUUUUUUUUUUUUUUUUAAUUUUAUUUUUUACACUUGUCACUUCCUAGACAUAACCAAAUCAAGUUUUAGUCUAGUCUAUAGCUCAGACUCUAACCUUAACCCAUAUUAACCUAUUCUGGAUUAGUAUUACGAUAAUUAAACAGUUUAAAAGCUGAAAAAUUAUCAAAAGAUGUCCAGUCAUUCAAUAAUCGGUUGUUCGCUGCAACAACCUAGUAUUAAAGUACAAUAAUUACCUGAAUAGUUGAUAAUAUUAUAAAAAAUUUUGUCUUAUGGAUAGUUCGGACUAAGAUCGCUUUUAGCGAUGCUUCUCUCUCUCUCUCGAAUUCAGAGCGAAUGAUAGAAAAAAAAACAAGUUUUAAAAAAAGCGUAUGCUCUUCAAUUUCGGCGACGCCACUUCCGUUUGGUUUAUAAAAAACAUGAUAAAACAUUAUUUUGUAUAUUUUUUUCUGUUUUUUAAAUAUGAUAAAUAUGGAAGCCAUUAUGUUGCCAAUUAGGGUUGGAGACUGUUCCUCAACUGACUUAGUUUCCAACCAGGACAUCGCCAACUGUUGCAUUGUGAACCCUGUGAUACUGGAAAUCAAACAUCCCAAGAGCCCUUUCACUGUGCAUGUUGUGAAGAGGAGCUUUAGAUGUCCUUACCACAGUCUCAGCAUCAGGAUUUGAAAGGGAGCCAUCCAGAUAGCUAGAUAGCUGUCUCUGUAGCACCUUACAAAAAACCUUCAGCAAGUUCUUUUGUGAUCUCGAUAAAUACUUCAUCAACAGUCACAUUUCUCAGGGCUUUUUAGAAUGAGAUCUUCAGUAUCCAGAGUCUGGCCAAAGCAAUUAGUUAGCAUUGAGAGGAGAUUCUCUGGAGAAUCCACAAUAGCCUUUAGUUUGACAAUACAGACCUUCACAUGAAGGAUCUAGAAAAUGAGAGUAAAAAUAAAUAUAAUAGCUGCAUAAAUGGUAUCGUUAAAAUUACAUUAUUUUUUUUCUUUAAAAUUAUAGAUGUGGUAGAAAGAUUUCAUCUUUCUCUCAUUUUUGUAUACCAAUGUCAUCCAUGGUCCAGUCAACAUCUUGCCAAAAAGCCCUGUUAAUAAGUAUAAUAAUUGUCAAAAGGGUUGAGACUCCUAAAAAGGAAUUAUUUUGAAACUAUAAAAAUGAAUUUGCCGAAAGAAAAUGUAAAAGUUAUUACCUAAGACUCUCAGCUGAACAAGAAUGUUUGGUUGCUGCAAGUCUUCAAUCAAUGACAGCCGAUAACUGGUCUCAUUGCAGUAUCUUUGCAAGUACAACUGGUCUCAUUGCAGUAUCUUUGCAAGUACCGUUGCAACAGAUUCUUCAGCCAAAUGAUAAAGUCAGCAGAGUUGAACAGGAUGUGAUGUCUGUUCCCCAUAUAUCUGACAAUCACCCCAACUUUCAGAUCUGAGAGUCUUUAAAAAGCCUUGAAGCUAGAUGGAUAACCUGUUGAUGCCUUGUGUCUGAAAAAAAUAAAAUCUUAGGGAGAUAAUAAACAUUUUAAUAUAGAGAUAUUUAGACAAUUUCUUUUUUAAAAAACUUACCUCAGUUUUGAAACUGCUUGAAUCAAGUAAGCAUAUUUCCCUUCUUUGCCGAAAGUGUUGCUAUUCACUGAAUACUUAUGGACUUUCUUUGCUUCAUUUGCCAAGCCAUCAAGUGGGUGAAGGUUACAGUGCAAGACUAACAAAUCUAUGGCAAAGAGCUGAGUUGCUGGCUAACACAACUAUUAAAGGGGGACCCUAUCUGUGAUGCUUCCUAAAUUUGUACAGUAUUCGAUGUUGUAUGCCUGAAUAUGUGGAUUAUGUUGUCCCUAAAUUUCUAAUAACGCCUACAAUGUGCACAAAGUAAUCUAGUGUAGACCCACCCCCAAGUUUACCUAUCUCUAGUGUAAAUGUUUUCCCACCAAAUGAUAAAUUUACUUCAUUAAUAGGUGAGCCAUCAAUAGUUGUGGCAUCCCAAGCCAAUGUUGCUACCAGCUCUGGUGCUGUAUACGAAGCCUCCACCAACUGCAAAUCGGAUAUAAUGUCCAUCUCAUUAGCCAUCUGUGCAGUAGUAGAUGGAGCAGGAAUCUUCACAAUUGAAAUGUGUGUCAGUUCAUUUAAAAUAUACCUGACAAGAAGCCCUGCUUUUUCUACUGGCACUUGACUCUCCAAACAAGCAUAGAGACACUUGCGAAAUGGGGCAUCAUACUUUCCUCCCAGGCAGAUGCUCUGAGUAGAUUGGCUGGAAUAGCUAUCAGUUAGCAUCGCACCAAGUUCAUCUAUCCACACCUUUCUUUCCUUCAAAUGAUAACUUUAAUGACUGAAUUCUGUCCUUCAAAAGGUUUCUCUGCUCUGAUCUUAUCUUAGCAAUUCUUUUCCAUUUAAAAAGUUCAGCUGCUGCCUUCUUCAGUGUCAAACUCAACUGAUGAUUUUCUUUACACAUGCGUUCAUUUUCACUCUUAAGUGUAGCUUUCACUUGACGAUAAGAUGUUAUCAGCGUAGAUUUCCUACCAAGCUCCUGAUUGACUCUUCUGGUGUUGAAGCGCUUCCUUAAAAGACGAAUCGCUUUUCUGCUGACAAGUAGUUUUUCUGACAGACUGGCACUGUGAGCUACAAAAUGCUAUCUGUGUGCAACAACGAGCACAGUGUCGUUCUGUAUUACCUGGCCUUUCAGUGGCCUCAACAUCACCUUUAGGUCACAAGUUCUUUACCAUGCUAGGUUGUUCAGUGCUGACAGGUCUCUUUUUGCCAGCAGCAUUGAUAGAAAAAUCUUUGUCCAAGUAAUGUGCAACUAGGUAUAGAAGAAAGUUUGUUCAAGUAAGGUGCAACUAGGUGCCAGCUGCGGGUAAUCUUCCUAGAAAAGUUCUUCAUCUCAGUCAUAUGCCUUCAAACCUUAUUGUCAGCUGUAGCCUUGGUUGUUGCAAUGCCAGCUUUUGUAAUAUAACUGAAAACAGCAUCAGCCACAUUCACAACAGUGUUGUUGUAAAGAAGAUAUUCUAUGUGACCAAAUUUCAGUUAAAAUCCAACUGCUGCUGCCACAGCAGCAAUGGAAAUAUCAACACAAUAAGUGUCUGAUACAUAAAUCCUGAAGUCCUUCAUGCUGCCAGGUAAAAAGGAACCUGCCACCGAAGUGCCUGUCACAACUAUAGGACUGUGCCGUAUCCUCAUCAGUCUGCACAACAAUCCUGUCAACACCUACAACAUUCACAUCAUGGCCUGCCACGCCCACAUUAGCUGAGGAAAAGGUCACAAAAUUUAGUAUGCUAAUAAGCAUAAUAAAAAAAAUUAUGUAUGGUCAACUUACCAGUAUGCUCAAUACGCUGGAACUCCAUGAAGACAAUAGUAAAGCACUGAUAUAAAUCUAAAGAAUUAACUGAUAUCUGGUCCUUGAACAAAGGGCUCCGAUUAUCCUUUUGUGUCUGAUUUUGAAGACGAAAACUUGUAAUUUGAGUUGUUUCAUUUCUUUGAUGUGUCUGCUUCUUUCCUCACUCCUGACUUGGAGAGUAAAGAUUAAUACCUUUUCAAGGCUUUUUUUUUGUGGGUGUAUUGGUAAGUUCCUCUCUUAUGUUAAAGUAGGUACUUUGAUAAAAAAUUCAAACUUAAUGAAUCUUUUUUCUUAAUGAAACUAGUAUAGUUGGAAUUUAACUUAGAUCUUUUUGAAAGGAGUUCAGUGAUGAGUAUGCUUUUAAGUUAAGUAGAACAUAAGUUAUGACCAUUUUAGUGUCAGAAAAUUAAAAAAACAAAAAUUUUGACCAAAAUGUUUCAACUAAUAUGCAUAUCCCAAAUAUAUAUAUAUAUGUUUGUGUAGUUUACACCAAGCCUGUAUGUAUCAUCGACGUGUUGAUUGUUGUCAUGGACCAUAAAAGAAAUAUCACUGAUAAAACCAUCCUUAAAUAGUUCGUAGCCCUUUAUUAAAACAUUGGUAUAGUUAUUUGAACAUUCAUGAACUUCGUUGAUGUAUAUAAAUUUUCAAAUUUUUGUUAAUGUUAAACCUUUAGAAAUAGAGGAGCAACAGCAAUGGAAAUAUAAGAAGACAUGGCCAUUCUCCUCUUUGUUGUUCAACCACCACGUGACUUUGCUGAAAGUAGGUCAGAAAUGAAGAACAACACCAUUUUUUAAAAAUAAGAACAAAAACUCACACAACUUCGUUAAUUUUAAUAUCCCAGUUUAUUGAUAUGGAUCAGAUGAAAAAAAAAAAGAAGCUUAUAAUCAUAAGCCUCUUAUAUUUAAUGCUUAAGUAAAUAAAAAUAUUUAAAAAAAAAAAA
Molecule: long non-coding RNA, 15967 nt
Organism: Biomphalaria glabrata
Lineage: Eukaryota; Metazoa; Mollusca; Gastropoda; Planorbidae
Exons: 2
Source: RefSeq, a predicted model, not a curated record